Dermacentor andersoni is the source of this 4202-nucleotide RNA transcript. RefSeq lists it as uncharacterized. NCBI's taxonomy places the organism in Eukaryota, Metazoa, Arthropoda, Arachnida, Ixodida, Ixodidae. The record is from RefSeq and is a predicted model, not a curated record.
ACGAGGGUAUGUCAUGUCUUGCAUGUGGACAGACCCUGACAGCAUGACGUCAUCUGACCCAUCAGUUGAAGAAAGCUGCAUUCCAUUUCUGUAUGCAGGCAAGCUGUUUCCCACACAAGCUACUGCCGAAAUUGCUUGCGAAUGUGAAUCGCUUCCUGAUAAAGCCCCUCAAGACUUGAGUACGGAAUAUGUCAGCGCACACAAAGAGAAGCAAGUGGAAAAUAAAGCCGGAAGUACAACAGCUGUAGUGCUCACACCGCUUCCAGAGCUUUCACUGAUUGGGUCGACCCCUAAGGCAUCGUCCGAAGAAAUUCGUUCAAGUGAGACUGAGCGACCUGUUUGCAAAUUCACCGAUCGAGAUGACGCGUUACAAUGGCCCGCCCGUCUUUACACUACAGAGCGUCGUAGCACUAGGCUGGGAGAAGCUGCCGCCCUUUUCGAUGCUCCUUCAGACGUAGUGCACACUGGGCACAGCAGAAUCAAAGUACAGAACAAAGAGAUGACCGAGCAGGUAAGACAGGCCGAGGAGCAGAAGGGUGGUUACGAAGAAGUUUCUGGAAGGAAAAUGUACGACACAGCUAUGCAAGAAGGCACCGCUCCCCCACCAGUAAGCGAGGCGCUUAUAAAGCCCCAAAUAGCUCCUAUUACGUACGGCGCCGAACAAGAAGAGCGGGUCAGUCAACCGACAAAUGAUCAGCCCCGCGUAGAUAGCAGCCUCCUACAGUACACCCCUGACGAGUACAUCCUGGCUGAGUUAGUUCGUGAAGUGGAAAAGAAGAUCGAAGCUAGCUCUCGUUACCACGUCGAACCUCUCCCUGAUGACGUACUUACGAUACGAUCAUCCAAAGGAAUCGAGUCUCUUGGCCGGCUAAGGUACGAGACAUAUGAAGAGGAGCUCCUCAUGCGACGCAGUGAGGACGAUCUGUCUCAAGAACAGGAAAGGUCAACAGCAGAAGCACUUGAACAACCUGCGACCGCAGUGCAACAAGCUGUCAUGAGCCUUGACCAGGAGGGAUAUGCGGGGGUCCUUGAAGAAUAUUAUGAACGUAUUGAGAAAAGACAACCAGAACCAGAGCCAGAAGAGCCGACCAAAGCAGGCGCACAGCCUUCAGUAGAUAUUGGUGAAGAAAUCAAGGCGAAAGUUGAAGAGCACAAAUCCGCAGUUACCACAAAGGCGCAAGAAAAACACCGUGUUCUCGCGGAAGAACACGACCAAUGGGAAGGUAAAGAUGCUGAAAGCAAAGAGGUGGAUGGCAAGGAAAUUUUCUCCGAAAGGCCAUAUGAUGCUAUUCGAGAAGAAAGACAUAGACAGUUCGAGCAGCGUUGGAAUGAUGUGCCUGUUUCAAUAGAAAGAGAAGGGAGAACAGCAUCAGUACAGGACAAGGGAACGCUUGAAAUAGCCCAGAGGACCACUUUGACGACAGAUCAAGGCGAAACUAAAGAACUUCAAGACAAAGUUCUUGUGAAGAAACAUAUAGGUGAACGGACGUCUGCAAAUGCGGUGAGGCGCUUCAUAGCGGCAGCCAUCGAAGAAGCGGCAAAGCGCGAAGAAACUACCAAAUCCGUUAAGCGAUUUAGGGAGUACCCCUGCUCGGAAGAGGCGCCCGCGAGGAUACGUUCGGGGUCACCAUACACUUCUGCAACUGACUUAGCUUCCCGCAAAGAAGAGGAACGCCGUCUUGCCGACAAAAAGGUGCAGCAAGAGAAAGCCAUACCACAGCCUGUGCGUUGCAAGUCCAUUGCAGAGUUAAUUGAAAAAAUCAUUCAGCAGCACGUCAGUGGAACCGACAUCCACAAACAAGGCAUGGUGCAUCAGAAACAGGUGCAGGCACAGGACUUCACAAGCGCGCAAGCUCCAAGUUUCCCGCCCAACAUGGGACAACAGGAAAUACCUGUCUAUUACCAGACGGGGACGGUUAGCCAAAAGCCAGGUGAUCAGUACGUCAACGACUAUCGUUGCUCUUUGCAAGGCGCUCCACGGAAGAGCGACACCCAGUUGGAGAGAACUUCCCAUACGGACCGCCGGUUCUCGUUCUCAGCGUUGGGCGGCCGCGGCGCCAAAUGUGUAAUUCGAAAACUUGAACCUGGAGCUUUAACUUACCUAGUAGAAGUAGCGCCCGCAGAUAAAAACCAAGAAAAUCAAACCGACAUGGUCAUGGCCGAAGAGCAAAUGCUGGUCAGCGAAAUUUUCGACCAUAUAACAACACCUAAUUUGCGUGUGUCUUCCUCAGGCACUAGGCUCAACGAACCGGCACCAAUCACUGUUUCACCUGCUGAGAGCUUAACUGCCAUAAGGAACGCUUAUGCAGAGGCCGUUGCUUGGCGUGUAUUGCGCAAGCAAUCGCCUCAGGGCACCGAGGGUGUCCUUUCCGACGCGCAGAAGGCGAAAUUUUACGAGAAUAGACAGGGUAUGAACGUUGAAAAGACUGCCUCGUCGACGUCGUCGCAGAGCGCACCUUCUGUGGAAGACUAUUUCGUACAAAGAAUGCUCGAUUCAGGCAUAAUAAGAAACCAGGCGGAACUACGGGGCAAGAAGCCACUUAAUCUCGAGAAUAGAGUCGUCUCGCGAACGUUGUCAACGGGCACAUUCUCCAAGGCGGGCGCGUCGUCUGAAGCGAUUGCUGCGCCACCUCCGACACCAUCACGUAACGUGGAGCACGGAGAGAAUGUCGAAGGAGGAGCGGAGUAUUGCUUAGGCGCGGCCCAGGACUCGACAGCACAGGCCACUGAAAAAGAAGAGGCCCCGCGGGACGCUGCAUUCGAAGAGGCGAGAAACGUGACUGCCGCAGCGUCGAAUUUUGUCGGAAAUGAGAAGCAGGCGAUGGCAGCAACUUCGGCAGAAAGCUACGAAGAGAAACGUUCGUCGACUUUCGCGUCGAGCGAGAGGUCCACUCGGGAACCUCGGAGGACAGCCACAGUGAAAGCGACUACGACGUCAGAAGAGCAGCGCUUUGUGGCCGAGCAGCCCUCCGCAGCCAGCUUGAAAAGCACCGUUCGCAUCGGUUCGGGGGAGUGCACAUUGUGUAGGAACCGCAUUUCUCCGGAAAAAUCGUUCGAGUCAUUCAUCUGCUUUGGCCUUCAUGAUCUGCCCAACUACUUUGCGACCCUUCCUUCUGAAGUGCGUGACACUGUCAAGCUGAGAAUUGCCACCGACGACGACGUGAGAGAGAUCAUGUAUCUGCCUUGGAAAGAACCGGAAUCCACGUACACUCUGCACGCCGCAAUAGUCACGAGGCACAUGCUUUGCCCAAGUAGCUUCUUCGUCGCCGUCGACACCUCACGAGAUUCCGUACACCCGGUGCAGAAAUUGGGCUACCGGCUGUACUGCAAUUGCCAGGCUAGACCUGAUGGCCAGCCAUGAAGCCACGUGCGGCUUUCGACAAGUUCGUUGCCUCCACAAGAGCUGCGGCUGGGUCCACCGCUUGAACCAGCUGGCCGGUCACCUGACGGAGCAACACGUCAGCGUGAUUGAAGUGCAGGAGGGAACUGCGGAUGUUUUCUUGAAGACCACACAAGUAAAGACCACAUCACGCGCAUCCUUCUGCUGCUGCAUGAGGACCACGUCUUAGGCGUGGUCUUUCAGCGCACCGGUCAAUUUCACACCGAAGCCACUCUAAAUGCCUUGAGCCUGACACCUAGUUCUGACCCAUACGAAUUCGAGAUCAUUCUUCGGGGUCCAGCGGGCACAAAUUCCUGGUGCUCCAGGGUUUUUGCUCCUGAUGCAGGCCAAGACACCGCUAUUGGCUUCACCGAACCAUUUCUCCAUAGAAUGGCUCUUGAAGGCUGCCUCCGCAUGGAAAUAAAAUUGACGAAAUCUGGCAUUUAAAAAGGACGAAGGUAUUUCGUGUCUUGCAUAUGGACAGACACCUGACAGCGUGACGUGGACUGACCCCUCAUUUGAAGAAAGCUGCGUUCCAUCGCCCUCUUUUCUCAAGUGGUAUCAUUUCUGCCUGCAGGCAAGAUGUUUCCCUAUUGCAAAAACCAGCGUCUUCCAGUGCCUUCCAGUGUGAAACCAGCGCUUUUUUUGAAACUGGAUCGCAAUGGGUACCCUGGCGCUCGCUGGGACUCAUUGGAACAUCAGUGAGAACGCUGGAUAAGAGUUGAGUCACACUGGAAGAGACGCUGAUUCCACUGCCAUGACGCUGGGGCGCAUUGGCUUGUGCUGUACAGGCGCUGGUUCUCGCUGCAGUUCUGAAUAUAAA